This 253-nucleotide ribosomal RNA is filed under the name uncultured bacterium. RNAcentral's name for it is "partial 16S ribosomal RNA". It matches the Rfam family "Bacterial small subunit ribosomal RNA", at positions 524 to 776 of the family's 1533-position model. The record is from RNAcentral.
UACGGAGGGUGCAAGCGUUAUCCGGAUUUACUGGGUUUAAAGGGUGCGUAGGUGGGUCUGUAAGUCAGUGGUGAAAUCUCCGAGCUUAACUCGGAAACUGCCAUUGAUACUAUAGAUCUUGAAUAUCCUGGAGGUGAGCGGAAUAUGUCAUGUAGCGGUGAAAUGCUUAGAUAUGACAUAGAACACCAAUUGCGAAGGCAGCUCACUACUGGAUCAUUGACACUGAGGCACGAAAGCGUGGGGAUCAAACAGG